UACGGAGGGUGCAAGCGUUAAUCGGAAUUACUGGGCGUAAAGCGCGCGUAGGCGGUUUUUUAAGUCGGAUGUGAAAGCCCCGGGCUCAACCUGGGAACUGCAUCCGAUACUGGAAGACUAGAAUGCGGGAGAGGGAGGUAGAAUUCCAUGUGUAGCAGUGAAAUGCGUAGAUAUAUGGAGGAAUACCAGUGGCGAAGGCGGCCUCCUGCUCGACAUUGACGCUGAGGUGCGAAAGCGUGGGGAGCAAACGGG
This 252-nucleotide ribosomal RNA is filed under the name uncultured bacterium. RNAcentral's name for it is "partial 16S ribosomal RNA". It matches the Rfam family "Bacterial small subunit ribosomal RNA", at positions 524 to 776 of the family's 1533-position model. The record is from RNAcentral.